RNAcentral lists this ribosomal RNA (253 nucleotides) under uncultured bacterium. RNAcentral's name for it is "partial 16S ribosomal RNA". It matches the Rfam family "Bacterial small subunit ribosomal RNA", at positions 524 to 776 of the family's 1533-position model. The record is from RNAcentral.
UACGUAGGGGGCGAGCGUUGUCCGGAUUUAUUGGGCGUAAAGAGCGUGUAGGCGGUUCGGUAAGUCUGUCGUGAAAUCCUGAGGCUCAACCUCGGGCGUGCGAUGGAUACUGCCGGGCUAGAGGAUGGUAGAGGCGAGUGGAAUUCCCGGUGUAGCGGUGAAAUGCGCAGAUAUCGGGAGGAACACCAAUGGCGAAGGCAGCUCACUGGGACGGUAUUGACGCUGAGACGCGAAAGCGUGGGGAGCAAACAGG